CUCCCUAAAUUGCCCAGGCUGACCUUAAACUUGCCAUCCUCCUGGCUCAGCUUCCCAAAUCACUGAGAUUACAGGUGUGCGCCACUGCACCUGACAGUAAAAUAAAUAAUUCCAAAAGGUGUUAGGAAUACUUUCUCCUUGAGGAAAGAACAUUUCAUGAAUGUAACUGAAUCUGACUCUUUGCUGACUUAAGUUCUGGCCAAAAUCUUUCUUCUUUCCUUCCUUCUCUCUUUUACCUCCUUUCCUCUCCUCUACCUCUUGCUAGUCUAUAUGCCUACUUGCUUUAAGACAAGUUGUCUUAAAGCACCUAUGGUGUGUCACCCCAUGUCCAGGUGUGGGGACAGAGAAAGUAUAGGCAGUGGGCUGGAAUAGGCACCAAAUCAUGGAAUGUUCCUGAGACAUGGCCUUAUAGAUUAAGUUCUGAAUCCUAGUUUGUUUCCUGAGGAUUUGCUUUUCUUCUCCUAAAGGUCAACCUAACUGAGUUCUAGGUACUUUGGUUCAAGUUAAUGGAGGUUUAAUUGAACAGGGCUCUGACACCAGGACAGUCCUGAUAAAUCGAAUACAGACAGGUGGGAAUUGGCUAGACCUGGAUUUGAAUCCUAGUUCUUACCAUUUCCCGCCAGUGGAAUGUUACAUAACCAGUCUUUCUGGACCACCUACUAUGCACUUGGCACUGUGUUGAAUAUUUCACAUGCAUGAUCUCAGUUGAUCACUGAGCUCUGAAAGCAUUUCACGAGAAAUCCCAGGAAAAGAUCUGGGUAUGGUGGUG
Molecule: long non-coding RNA, 769 nt
Filed under: Marmota monax (woodchuck)
Lineage: Eukaryota; Metazoa; Chordata; Mammalia; Rodentia; Sciuridae
Source: RNAcentral